AUGGCCUGUGUCCCCCUGCUCCUCCUAGUGCUCUCCAACAGCUCAGGUUCCCUGGUCCAGGCAGCUCUGACUCAGCCACCCUCGGUGUCAGCGAAGCCAGGACAAACCAUCCAGAUCUCCUGCUCGGGGAGCAGCAAUGGCUACUAUGGCUGGUACCAGCAGAAGGUGCCUGGCACUGCCCCUCUCACUCUGAUCUACUACAAUACCAACAGACCCUCAGGCAUCCCUUCACGAUUCUCUGGCUCCAAGUCUGACUCCACAGCCACCUUAACCAUCACUGGGGUGCAGGCUGAGGACGAGGCUGUCUAUUACUGUGGUGGCUGGGACAGCAGUGGUAGCUAUGGUGUCUGCUGGGAGUCAGCAAACCCAGGACGCACUGUCCAGACCUCCUGCUCUGGGAGCAGCAGUGACUAUGGCUGGUACCAGCAGAAGGUGCCUGGCACUGCCCCUCUCACUGUGAUCUACUUGAAUGACAAGAGACCCUCAGGCAUCCCUUCACGAUUCUCUGGCUCCAGGUCUGGCACCACAGGCACCUUAACCAUCACUGGGGUGCAGGCUGAGGAUGAGGCUGUCUAUCACUGUGGUGGCUGGGACAGCAGCAGUGGUGGCUAUGGUGUCUGCUGGCCAUGGAGCUGA
Dryobates pubescens (Downy woodpecker) is the source of this 636-nucleotide non-coding RNA. The record is from the annotation of a RefSeq genome assembly. NCBI's taxonomy places the organism in Eukaryota, Metazoa, Chordata, Aves, Piciformes, Picidae.